CCGUCUGCUGCCCCCCCCCCCACAACCCCUUGCCCUGACCCACACAUCCACUCGCCCCCUUCUCCAAGAUGGAUAGGAGGGGGCCUCUUCCCCAAUUGUGCCUUGGCUCAGGAAACUGGAGUUUCUGGGAUGAACGUGCGGGGGGGACGACGACGACCCCUUGCAAAAGGAAGGCGAGAGCGCCUUGGCCACUCCGGCCGGCUGAAGCAUCAUCCGGCGGGAGGGGCAGUGGCUUUUGGAUCCUCCUGGACGGCCUCUCUCUUCAUCCAGGGAUACCUGCCAAUCCAAGCCUUUGUUGGAUUUACCCGCCUCCAUCCACACAUGUGAAAAUUGAAGCCAUUGCUUGUCUUUUUUUGGAUGGUUGUUUUUUUUUUUUUUUGUUUUUUUCUUAACUUCUGAAAUAAGCUAUGUCUCUCCUCGCCCUCUUUUCCUCCUUUUACCUGCCACUAUGGACCUCCCAACCUUGUCGAGGUUUGAGAAAGCGCAAGUUGCAGAAAGCUCUUCGGAACUGUGAUGUGAAGUUAUGGAUCAUUUUUCGUUCUCUGGGAUGGAAAGCCAAGCCAAACCAGGUUGUGGGGGGUGGUUUUUUUUUUUUUUUGAUAUCUGUCUUGCAAUAUUUUUUUUCCCCCUUUCUCGGUAAGCUUUGGCGUUAAGGACUUCAGAGCGGAAGACAAAAACGGGCGUUGAAAAGAAAAGAAAAGGUCUUUGCUUCCUCUCGCCCUUUUCAUUUGCUGGUUGCAAGCAAGUUUCUGUAAAACAUCUUUUUUCCACCCCCCACUUGAUUUAAAUUUCAAUUUGGAAGCUGAACGUCCGGCCUAAGAGACGGAUAGAACUGAAGACGAGAAAAUAACAAACCUGUCGGAACCGUCUGCAGAAAGUCAAAAAUUCUUUUUUGCUUUCGGAUCUCGGGGAGUUUUUUUCGGGUUUUUAAUUUUUUUAAAUUCCCUCCCCCCCCGCCCCAAAAUACUCCCUUCCCAAUGGUGCCUGCCAAAGAAAAGCUCACUGAUGGGAAAAUGUUUUUCCCCACUGCAAACCGUCUCGUGAAUGAAAAGUAUUAAGCGUCUCGCAAAGAAUAAGCUAUGCGCUGAAAAUGUAGCCUGACCAAUAUUGCAACCGGGACUGAAUUUGCAUCCAAGCCGACUCUUGACAGCGGGGAGAAAAAAAAUGGUUGAUUUUCCCUUAUGUGCAAUCCCAGGGGUUUGGUGUUUUGUUUUUGUUUUUAAAAAAAUUACGCAAUGGGGUGGUGGGAAUGUGAUGUUUCUCUCCACUUGUCCUCCCUUUUUCCCCGUCUUAGCAGCAAAGCUGGAAUAUCAGUAAGAUUUUCUCACUCUGCUCUUCAAUUCCCCUUAAAACAAAAGAGAAAAAAAAGAAAGCCCAACUUAAAAGCCAAUUUUGGAAUUAGGAUUAUUUUUAUAAAAAGAAAAUCAAUCAUUGAUCUGGGUUGAACUUUGGAAGUGGGGUUAAACUUCAUUUAAAGCCAUUUAUUUCUAUGGGUUUGCGGCUCCUUGGAGUGGGAUUGGUUGGGUUCUGUCUUGCUGGCAAUUUUCGGGGUUCCAGAGUGGCGAGGUUCAGGAGCCAGCAUUAAGUUUCUGGGUUUUGCUUUUAAAAAGUCACCAGAUGGUGGCACUGUGAGAUCUAUUGAAGUCUCUUUAGUAACGUAUUUGUCAGCUUUGCAAACCUUUAAGAUGGGUGGACUUCAACCCCCAGAAUUCCACAGCCAGCACAUCUUAAAAAGUCACAAAAGGCUGAAAAACACGGCUCUAACCCAAAGUAUUUGGCUUUAAACAGGAUAUCUCCAUGCGUCUUUCAAUCCUUGCACAAAAUGAAUUCUAUAUAAGCCACCCAGCCUCAUAUUUUUGAGGAUAGAGGCUCAUAAUAGAACGAUUGCCAAUUUCUUGCACACCUAAAAAAACAAAACCAUCUCUUCUAACUCCAAUUCCCUCCCGUCUCCAUCCCUGUUUAGCGAGCUUCUCUCUAAAAAGGGAAACCUGAGCCGCCGUGCCCGUUCUGCUCUGCCACCAAAUUCCUUUACCACUUAACCUCACCGUCAUAUUUCCGUGCACCUGUCCCCCUGCUUGUUCUUUACGGCACUUUGUGGCACCUGGAGAUGCUUUAAAAAAAAAGAAAAGAAAGAAAAUUCUCUGCAAACAACAACACCUCUUGCUUGUGUCUUGGGUGAAUAUUGGUGAAAAUACCCAAGGCGGAAGGCCUACAAGCGGAAGACCAAAGAGCCGCAGGUGGUUUGUCCGGCUGCAACCAUCCUUGAGCGUUGGCGCAAGCGUCGGAUGGUGUUUGGCAGCGUGGACCCGUCAGAAAUGAGAGUGCGAAGACCUCCCCCGAUUUCUACUCGUUGCACUAUUGCAAACUGCACAGGGGUUUUUAAAACUUUUCCCGCCUCCCCAUUUUCUAUUCUGUCCCACUCAAGCCAAUGUUAGCCGGAUUGG
Non-coding RNA from Notechis scutatus (mainland tiger snake), 2444 nucleotides. NCBI's taxonomy places the organism in Eukaryota, Metazoa, Chordata, Lepidosauria, Squamata, Elapidae. The record is from RefSeq and is a predicted model, not a curated record.